AAGCGACUGAAGUUCCGGAGCAGUCGCAUGAGCUUACCGGUUACCAGGAGGCUCCGGGAACAGACACCUCACCCUGACAUUGUGGCAGGAACUUCUGGACUGUUUUCCAAAGUGGCUGCACUGUUUUCUCUCCUCACUGGGCAGGAAAACAUCUAAGAAUGGAGGCUCCCCCUUCCCUUGCAGGGUGACCAGCAAUUAAAAAGAAGUACUAGAGAGGCAAAUAUUGGCAGUAUACAUCUAAGCGCUGGUCAGAAAAGAAGGAACCCAACCCAAGAACUCGCCCAAUCUGAUACUGGAGGUGCCGCUCAAGAACCACUCCCUCCAAGAUGUUUUCCUGGAUUUCCUCAGCCUAAAGUAAUCCCUCUUUUUCCUGAUUUCUUCAUGUUGGCCAGGCUGGUCUCCAACUCAUGAC
This is a long non-coding RNA of Cercocebus atys (sooty mangabey), 412 nucleotides long. RefSeq lists it as uncharacterized. The record is from RefSeq and is a predicted model, not a curated record. The transcript is spliced from 6 exons. Lineage: Eukaryota; Metazoa; Chordata; Mammalia; Primates; Cercopithecidae.